CUAGGAAUAAUGGAAUAGGACCGCGGUUCUAUCUUGUUGGUUUUCGGAACUGAGGUCAUGAUUAAGAGGGACGCCCGGGGGCAUUCGUAUUGCGCCGCUAGAGGUGAAAUUCUUGGACCGGCGCAAGACGGACCAGAGCGAAAGCAUUUGCCAAGAAUGUUUUCAUU
RNAcentral lists this non-coding RNA (167 nucleotides) under Oryctolagus cuniculus (rabbit). Its description in RNAcentral is "Eukaryotic small subunit ribosomal RNA". It matches the Rfam family "Eukaryotic small subunit ribosomal RNA", at positions 808 to 974 of the family's 1831-position model. Lineage: Eukaryota; Metazoa; Chordata; Mammalia; Lagomorpha; Leporidae. The record is from Rfam by way of RNAcentral.